UGGGGAAUCUUGCACAAUGGGCGAAAGCCUGAUGCAGCGACGCCGCGUGGGGGAUGAAGCUUCUCGGAGUGUAAACCCCUUUCGACCCGGACGAAUGCCCCGCAAGGGGACUGACGGUACGGGUAUAAGAAGCCCCGGCUAACUACGUGCCAGCAGCCGCGGUAAGACGUAGGGGGCCAGCGUUGCUCGGAAUUACUGGGUGUAAAGGGUUCGUAGGCGGUGUGGCAAGUCGGGAGUGAAAUCUCUGGGCUCAACCCAGAGUCUGCUUCCGAAACUGCUGUGCUUGAGUGUGGGAGAGGCGCGUGGAAUUGCAGGUGUAGCGGUGAAAUGCGUAGAUAUCUGCAGGAACACCCGUGGCGAAAGCGGCGCGCUGGACCACUACUGACGCUGAGGAACGAAAGCUAGGGGAGCAAACAG
This 417-nucleotide ribosomal RNA is filed under the name uncultured bacterium. Its description in RNAcentral is "bacterial SSU rRNA". It matches the Rfam family "Bacterial small subunit ribosomal RNA", at positions 355 to 775 of the family's 1533-position model. The record is from RNAcentral.